GAUAUUCAAAAUCCUUUUCUGAAAGAUGAACGCUUGUCUUAAGCUAACUGAACAUAGGAAUGGAGAACAUCUCGAAGAAUGGGCGGGUUAGAGUAGGUCUCGAGCCUUAUAUCCUUCCUUUCUGAAACCAUGAACCAGACCAUAUUACAACCCUCAAAAGGCCUAAUUGAAGCAUGGUCUAUUUCGAAAGCAUACUAUGGUAAGAUCACGUUAAGCUGACUCCUAAAGAUUUGCUUGUC
RNAcentral lists this long non-coding RNA (239 nucleotides) under Lathyrus oleraceus (garden pea). Its description in RNAcentral is "Pisum sativum (pea) long non-coding RNA (PSAT_LNC029306)". Lineage: Eukaryota; Viridiplantae; Streptophyta; Magnoliopsida; Fabales; Fabaceae. The record is from RNAcentral.